RNAcentral lists this ribosomal RNA (880 nucleotides) under uncultured organism. Its description in RNAcentral is "bacterial SSU rRNA". It matches the Rfam family "Bacterial small subunit ribosomal RNA", at positions 23 to 882 of the family's 1533-position model. The record is from RNAcentral.
CUCAGAGCGAACGUUGGCGGCGCGCUUACACAUGCAAGUCGAACGCGAAAAGUCCUUCGGGGCUGAGUAGAGUGGCGCACGGGUGAGUAACACGUGAGUAACCUGCCCUCGAGCCCGGGAUAACUCGUCGAAAGGUGAGCUAAUACCGGAUGAGACCACAGCCUCUGCGGGGGCUGUGAGAAAAGCUGGGGACCGAAAGGCCUGGCACUCGAGGAUGGGCUCGCGGCCUAUCAGCUUGUUGGUGGGGUGAUGGCCCACCAAGGCUACGACGGGUAGCUGGUCUGAGAGGAUGAUCAGCCACACUGGAACUGAGACACGGUCCAGACUCCUACGGGAGGCAGCAGUGGGGAAUUUUGCGCAAUGGGCGAAAGCCUGACGCAGCGACGCCGCGUGUGCGAUGAAGGCCUUUGGGUCGUAAAGCACUGUCAAGCGGGAAGAAAACCUGCCGGUUAAUACCCGGUAGGCUUGACGGUACCGCUGGAGGAAGCACCGGCUAACUCUGUGCCAGCAGCCGCGGUAAUACAGAGGGUGCGAACGUUGCUCGGAAUUACUGGGCGUAAAGAGCGUGUAGGCGGUCUGUUAAGUCGGCUGUGAAAGCCCAUGGCUCAACCAUGGAAGUGCAGUCGAUACUGGCGGGCUAGAGUCCCGGAGAGGGUGGUGGAAUUCCCAGUGUAGGGGUGAAAUUCGUAGAUNUUGGGAGGAACACCGGUGGCGAAGGCGACCACCUGGACGGGUACUGACGCUGAGACGCGAAAGCGUGGGUAGCAAACAGGAUUAGAUACCCUGGUAGUCCACGCUGUAAACGAUGAUCACUAGGUGUUGCGGGUAUUGACCCCUGCAGUGCCGAAGCUAACGCAUUAAGUGAUCCGCCUGGGGACUA